This 250-nucleotide ribosomal RNA is filed under the name uncultured bacterium. RNAcentral's name for it is "partial 16S ribosomal RNA". It matches the Rfam family "Bacterial small subunit ribosomal RNA", at positions 355 to 621 of the family's 1533-position model. The record is from RNAcentral.
UCGAGAAUCUUCCGCAAUGGGCGAAAGCCUGACGGAGCGACGCCGCGUGGUAGAUGAAGUCCUUAGGGACGUAAAUACCUUUUAUGAGGGAAGAAGUAUAUUGACAUUACCUCAUGAAUAAGGGGCUCCCAAUUCUGUGCCAGCAGGAGCGGUAAUACAGAAGCCUCGAGCGUUACCCGGAUUUACUGGGCGUAGGGGUGUAGGUGGUGUAAUUAGUCUUGCGUUAAAUCCAGGGGCUCAACCUCUGGCU